Molecule: non-coding RNA, 252 nt
Organism: Vicia faba (fava bean)
Lineage: Eukaryota; Viridiplantae; Streptophyta; Magnoliopsida; Fabales; Fabaceae
Source: the annotation of a GenBank genome assembly
AUGGCAAAGACGAAGAAAUCAGAAAAGAAGCAAGGUGAAUGCAAAGCUGAUGAACAAUAUUUUUGCGGCAGCGCAACACUAUUGUUUGUUGGAGAUGAUGAGAAAAUGGACGCAGAACCUUUUAUGAAGAAGAGAGAGUUUGCACUCUGUUUCACGUGGAAGUGGGACAGAAGCGUGAAUGUGAUGUAUGUGUGGAUAUUAGUGAAACAGAUGAAGUAUGUUGGAGAAAAUGUUGUUCGCAUCGUCGUGUGA